This 699-nucleotide ribosomal RNA is filed under the name Debaryomyces hansenii. Its description in RNAcentral is "LSU rRNA". The stretch from base 1 to 584 matches the Rfam family "Eukaryotic large subunit ribosomal RNA", at positions 67 to 664 of the family's 3401-position model. The record is from RNAcentral. Lineage: Eukaryota; Fungi; Ascomycota; Pichiomycetes; Serinales; Debaryomycetaceae.
CACUGGGGGUAUUGCCUAAGAUACGGCGAGUGAGCGGCAAAAGCUCAAAUUUGAAAUCUGGCACCUUCGGUGUCCGAGUUGUAAUUUGAAGAAGGUAACUUUGGAGUUGGCUCUUGUCUAUGUUCCUUGGAACAGGACGUCACAGAGGGUGAGAAUCCCGUGCGAUGAGAUGCCCAAUUCUAUGUAAAGUGCUUUCGAAGAGUCGAGUUGUUUGGGAAUGCAGCUCUAAGUGGGUGGUAAAUUCCAUCUAAAGCUAAAUAUUGGCGAGAGACCGAUAGCGAACAAGUACAGUGAUGGAAAGAUGAAAAGAACUUUGAAAAGAGAGUGAAAAAGUACGUGAAAUUGUUGAAAGGGAAGGGCUUGAGAUCAGACUUGGUAUUUUGCGAUCCUUUCCUUCUUGGUUGGGUUCCUCGCAGCUUACUGGGCCAGCAUCGGUUUGGAUGGUAGGAUAAUGACUAAGGAAUGUGGCUCUACUUCGGUGGAGUGUUAUAGCCUUGGUUGAUACUGCCUGUCUAGACCGAGGACUGCGUCUUUUGACUAGGAUGUUGGCAUAAUGAUCUUAAGCCACCCGUCUUGAACAACGGACCAAAAAAAACCAAAAAACCCAGGGCCCGCGCGCGAACACCCCCACCCCCGGUCUCAGAGGUUCCUACCAUGCAGCGUCCAGCUUUUCCCCUUCCUGCCCCCCUGCCCGGCCGC